Molecule: long non-coding RNA, 320 nt
Organism: Perca fluviatilis (European perch)
Lineage: Eukaryota; Metazoa; Chordata; Actinopteri; Perciformes; Percidae
Exons: 4
Source: RefSeq, a predicted model, not a curated record
CCACUCCAGUCCACUAAGCGGCGGUAGUUGUUUUAUAAGUUGGCUGCCAACCGCCCAUAUUUAUAAGAAGAGGAACCAGCAGCAGUCACUUGGUUGCUGUCUUCCUCGACUGAAACAUCACUUUUGAAACUGAUCACUUGCAACAGUUGGAAACACUCACAGACUGGACUCCAUAGGUGCUAAAGUGAAGCCACUUAAAGACUGGACUUAAAUCAGGUCCUCCCACAGACAUCAUCAGCUUUUUAUAACAAUGUUGUAACUUGUUUUUUUGAAAGCAAAUGUUGACCAGUAUUUUAAAUAAAAUAAAACUUCUAAAAGUA